This 4003-nucleotide long non-coding RNA is filed under the name Setaria italica (foxtail millet). RNAcentral describes it as "long non-coding RNA (SITA_LNC004642)". Lineage: Eukaryota; Viridiplantae; Streptophyta; Magnoliopsida; Poales; Poaceae. The record is from RNAcentral.
UGUAGGCUGGCCGGAAAGGUCGCCGUCAUUACCGGGGGCGCGAGCGGCAUUGGCAAGGCGACCGCCACCGAGUUCGUCAAGAACGGCGCCAAGGUCGUGAUCGCCGACGUCCAGGACGACCUCGGCCACGCCGUUGCCGCGGAGCUCGGCCCGGACGCGGCGUGCUACACCCGCUGCGACGUCACCGACGAGGCGCAGGUCGCCGCGGCCGUGGACCUCGCGGUGGCCCGCCACGGGCAGCUCGACGUCAUGUUCAACAACGCCGGCAUCGGGGGCAACCCCGUGCCACCACCGCUCGGCGCCACGGACCUCGCCGACUUCGACCAGGUGAUGGCGACCAACGCCCGGGGCGUGCUGGCCGGGAUCAAGCACGCCGCGCGCGUCAUGGUCCCGCGCCGCAGCGGCAGCAUCAUCUGCACCUCGAGCGUCGCGGGCGUGGUGGGCCUUGGCAGUAUGGGCAACCUCGCGUACAGCACCUCGAAGGCGGCGGUCCUGGGCAUGGUGCGCACCGUGGCGGCGGAGAUGGCGCGCUCCGGGGUGCGCGUGAACGCCAUCUCUCCCGGCGCUAUCCCGACGCCGCUGGCGUUGAAAACCUUCGCCGUGUGGUUCCCCGGGAAGAGCGCCGAGGAGGUUCGGCGGAUCAUUGAGGAAGAAGUGAACCUGAUGGACGGGGUGGUGCUGGAGGAGGAGGACAUCGCGAGGGCGGCGCUGUACCUGGCGUCCGACGAGGCCAAGUACGUGAGCGGGCACAACCUCAUCGUUGACGGCGGUUUUGCGGUGACCGGAAGCGCCAAAUGAAAGUACCAGCUCCAGCACGCCGACGGAGUGAUUUAGUGGGCUAUUUUCAGAACAUAAACUGUGUUUUUUACUUCCUGUGCACACGAGAACUGUCUAACGCUCAUUCUGCGUUGGUGUGAUCCACGAAAAUAAUAGAACGUUGCUUUCCUAACAUCUUCCACGUGUCGGAAUUUUUUAGCCUACCAACUUCUUUACAUGAGCUCAUCGUGUUAGACCUCCCUCCGUGCACUAGCUCAAAGAUUAUCCACCUCAUAUAAGAGCAACCGCAAUGUUGUGAAAACACGAUGCCCCAUUUUUCUCUCUCCUGUUUGGAGCAUCGCUUUUUCCACCGUGACUACCGAUUUCUCUCUCCUGUUUGGAGCAUCGCUUUUUCCACCGUGACUACCGAUGCCCAGUUGCAAAAAGUCAGCAACUGGAAAUGUAUAGUCCUCGAUGCCUAUUCUCCUUGAUCAAUAAAAUAACAUUCUUCAGUCACAUGCCGUUGUCCGAUUGCGGCCACAUCAACGACAGAUGGCGAAGCGGUGGCCGGUGGUUGAAAUGAGAGGGAGUAUUUUAUUCGCGGGUAGGGUUCACAUUGUUUCGGCGCACACUGCGAUGAAAAUAAGUUAAAGCAUCAUAGUUGUGUGCAGUAUGAAAUGAUGUUUCAAGCCUCGGCUACACUGCUAUGCUCUAAGAGAUAGUAAAAAGUUUACCUCUCCAAUAAUUUGUCUAGCACAUUGUUCAAAGUAUUUUAGGUCUAACAACAUAUCUCCCAUCAAUAAAGGGUCCAACCCACUUUCUCUCUAUUAGCUAGCUCUUGAAAAAGAAAUAUUACACUCUCUCUCCUCAUAUUUUCUCUCUUCCAUGCAAGCAAAGUGAUAAGGUAGAUUCCUAUAAGCUAGCUGAAUCCUAUAAGCUAGCUGAAUUGGUAUUGUUGGAGGAGCCCUUCUGAACAUGUGAAAAGGAACACAGAAUAAUGUUCAGCCAUGUAACUGUGUACUAACUCAUGGAAGGUCCAAAACUGCCUAAAACGGACAACGGGGGAUGACAGCCUGAACACUAUUGAAGCUCGGCCGCGCUCUCGGUUGCCAACUGCAGUGACGGGGCAACGGUUAGUGUAGCAGCGGCACUGCUCCCAUGCGCACAGUGUGCUCUAUCUUUCUGCCGUCAUUGCCCUCGUGCGCGUCGUGGUGAUUUGGGCAUUGCAGUUGGAUGUGUCACCGCGCCAAUACGUGCCUUGAAAUCAACCAAAUGUCCGAGAUUGUUAGGUGGAUUUGUACGCAUUCAGCUCACCCAAAGUCCAAACCAUGUGAAACAAGGACAGUGACGGCUGAGAACGUUGAGGAGUUUGGGGGUGAACUAAUGAAAAUCGUGUUUACUAAUGUUGGGAGUAGAGCGGGGCAGAUGCGAAAAAUUGUUUGUCCAUAGUAUUUUUCUUAAUAAGCUUUUUAUAUGAAUAUACAUUAUAAUUGAACUAUACUGUCCCGUACCGUACUGCUUAAUAAAUUCUCAACUGUCAGUAAUUUUGAUUUUUUUUAUAGGUGUUCCAAUUACUAACUCUUCUUUCAAAGCGUUCCCCUACCACCACACCCGUGGGAUGGCCAAAAAAAAAAAUCAUGUGCAUGGUUAGACUAUUGAGCACUGAAUUAAUCAGUGUUACUCUCCCACCCAUGAAUAGGUGUCUGAACUGAGCAGCCCAGCUGGUAAUGUCGUUAUGGUGGAAUCUAUCCGUUCGAGACCUCGACUCGGUACUAUUUCUCAUAUUUUUCUAGAUUUAUUUUAGAAUUUAACCAUACGUUGUUCUUUCAGUGGUAGAUGACGUGCCCGUCGACAGCGAGACUCCAGAGGAGGUUUCGUCAAUCUCAAGGAUCUGCUGGCUCAGUCUCUCAGAGGAGCUCAUAGGGGUAGAAUUGUGUGCAUGUAUUCAUAAAGUUGAGCAUGCGAGUGUUUAUAUGAACGUGUAUGUUAGUAUUGUGUUUUGCCAAAAAAAAAGUGUUUACCUUUCCAACUAUGAAGUACUUUCUCAGAAAACUCCUUUACCCGUUUCCAAUCAGUAUUCGACAUAUUCCUUUAGCUUUGGUGGCGAGCACAAUUAUUGCUAGAUACAGAGGCCACUAAGGUUUGGACGUUAGGUCUUUCAGUUGAGGCGUAGCAAGCACAAAAAGGUCCUAUUAGGCCUUGGCUGGGUCCUUAGUGAACGAACUAACGAGUUACGAGCUUUAUCCAAUCCUAAAUAUGACUAGACUACGGCCUGGGCCGUCCAUCACCAAGUAUUAUUAUUCAACAGAGAAACUGAGAGCAUCUGGAAGGGUGACCGUACGUCGUCUCACACCGUGGUGCCGCAAACAUCUCAGUCGUUGACCAUUGACACUGAGGGUUUCCAUCGUUCUUUCAAAGCACGUGAAAAUACUAGCAAGUAGUAACAACGACCGCUGAGAAGGGGAAUGCUGACUGCUGUGCUGAGUGACAUGGCACACAACGACUCAGAACGGGACACCAAAAACCCAGCACCCUAACUAACCUUCAUAAGAAGGCUCGCCACGCGGAGCUGCAAUUAAACCAGCCGAAUCGUCAAGACGAAGAUCAUCUUGCUGCCUGUUUGUAGGAUUGUAUAUUCUCAACGAAUAAGCGAGUGGGCACCAUGUUCGUCAGAGCCUUGCAAUUGAUUGUCAGGUAGCUGGGGUUACAGUUUGGUUAAUUUUGAUUGAUAUUUACGAGAAGCUCUAAAACAUUUGAAUGGAUUUCGUGUGUCUUGCAGUAAGAAGAGCGGGGUCAUUGCGCCAGGAUCCUUGGGCUUCGUCAAUGCCUUCUCCUCGGCUUCGGCCUCUCAGAGUCAGAGGUUCACUCUCGUGGCACAACCUUCAUCUAGCUGCUAGUGCUCUCUGGCACCUCGUUGAUGGAAUUGAAUUGGCCUGUGCGGAGCUUCGAUUUCUUAUUCGUUCACGACUGACAGAGGAGCCUUUUUGUUGUGCGGGGUUGGUUUGUAGGCUGGCCGGAAAGGUCGCCGUCAUCACCGGGGGCGCGAGCGGCAUCGGCAAAGCGACCGCCGCCGAGUUCGUCAGGAACGGCGCCAAGGUCGUCAUCGCCGACGUCCAGGACGACCUCGGCCACGCCGUCGCCGCGGAGCUCGGCCCGGCCGCGGCGUGCUACACCCGCUGCGACGUCUCCGACGAGGCGCAGGUCGCCGCGGCCGUGGACCUCGCGGUGGCCCGCCACGGGCAGCUCG